GGUCUUGUGGUCUAGUGGUAUGAUUCUCGCUUAGGGUCCAAGUAUGGCACAACUUGCGAGAGGCCCCGCGUUCGAGUCGCGGCAAGACCC
RNAcentral lists this transfer RNA (90 nucleotides) under Blumeria hordei DH14. Its description in RNAcentral is "tRNA-Pro for anticodon AGG". Lineage: Eukaryota; Fungi; Ascomycota; Leotiomycetes; Helotiales; Erysiphaceae. The record is from RNAcentral.